CACUUUAUUUGAUUUCCUUCGGGAUUGAUUAUUUUGUGACUGAGUGGCGGACGGGUGAGUAACGCGUGGGUAACCUGCCUUGUACAGGGGGAUAACAGUUGGAAACGGCUGCUAAUACCGCAUAAGCGCACAGUACCGCAUGGUAUAGUGUGAAAAACUCCGGUGGUAUAAGAUGGACCCGCGUUUGAUUAGCUAGUUGGUGGGGUAACGGCCUACCAAGGCGACGAUCAAUAGCCGACCUGAGAGGGUGACCGGCCACAUUGGGACUGAGACACGGCCCAAACUCC
Molecule: ribosomal RNA, 287 nt
Filed under: uncultured Lachnospiraceae bacterium
Lineage: Bacteria; Bacillati; Bacillota; Clostridia; Lachnospirales; Lachnospiraceae
Description: partial 16S ribosomal RNA
Rfam family: Bacterial small subunit ribosomal RNA (bases 49-287)
Source: RNAcentral